UACGAAGGGGGCUAGCGUUGCUCGGAAUCACUGGGCGUAAAGCGCACGUAGGCGGAUCUUUAAGUCAGGGGUGAAAUCCUGGAGCUCAACUCCAGAACUGCCUUUGAUACUGGGGAUCUCGAGUCCGGGAGAGGUGAGUGGAACUGCGAGUGUAGAGGUGAAAUUCGUAGAUAUUCGCGAGAACACCAGUGGCGAAGGCGGCUCACUGGCCCGGUACUGACGCUGAGGUGCGAAAGCGUGGGGAGCAAACAGG
This 253-nucleotide ribosomal RNA is filed under the name uncultured bacterium. RNAcentral describes it as "partial 16S ribosomal RNA". It matches the Rfam family "Bacterial small subunit ribosomal RNA", at positions 524 to 776 of the family's 1533-position model. The record is from RNAcentral.